Molecule: ribosomal RNA, 482 nt
Filed under: uncultured Pseudoalteromonas sp.
Lineage: Bacteria; Pseudomonadati; Pseudomonadota; Gammaproteobacteria; Alteromonadales; Pseudoalteromonadaceae
Description: bacterial SSU rRNA
Rfam family: Bacterial small subunit ribosomal RNA
Source: RNAcentral
UUGAACGCUGGCGGCAGGCCUAACACAUGCAAGUCGAGCGGUAACAGAAAGUAGCUUGCUACUUUGCUGACGAGCGGCGGACGGGUGAGUAAUGCUUGGGAACAUGCCUUGAGGUGGGGGACAACAGUUGGAAACGACUGCUAAUACCGCAUAAUGUCUACAGACCAAAGGGGGCUUCAGCUCUCGCCUUUAGAUUGAUCCAAGUGUGAUUAGCUAGUUGGUGAGGUAAUGGCUCACCAAGGCGACGAUCCCUAGCUGGUUUGAGAGGAUGAUCAGCCACACUGGGACUGACACACGGCCCAGACUCCUACGGGAGGCAGCAGUGGGGAAUAUUGCACAAUGGGCGCAAGCCUGAUGCAGCCAUGCCGCGUGUGUGAAGAAGGCCUUCGGGUUGUAAAGCACUUUCAGUCAGGAGGAAAGGGAUGUAGUUAAUACCUGCAUCCUGUGACGUUACUGACAGAAGAAGCACCGGCUAACUCCGU